Molecule: long non-coding RNA, 1733 nt
Organism: Ictalurus punctatus (channel catfish)
Lineage: Eukaryota; Metazoa; Chordata; Actinopteri; Siluriformes; Ictaluridae
Source: Ensembl
GGAAGUUCAACAUUGUUUUUUUCAGUAAAUAAGACAAGCCUAUGAAAUACUGGGAGAGUGUAGUCUGGUCAGAUGAGAGGAAAAGUGAACUUUUUGGCCAUCAUACUACACACCAUGUUUGGAGAAGAAAUGGCACUGCACAUCACCCUAAAAACACUGUGUGUAAUAUCAUACAUACAUACAUACACACCUAUAUCUGUAUAUAUAUGCUUAAGUGUUUUUACAGGCAGCCAGUUAACAUAAACUAAGGAGGAUGUUUGUCAUAUUUGGCUAAACAUCUUAGUGUUAUCAUGAAACUACCUUUUUGCACCAGGUGCUAUUCAAACUUCUAAAGGACAUCUUGGAGUUUAUAUAAGGGCUUGAACACCUACUGGUCUGCAUGCAUACCUUCUACCAAAAUCAAGCUCUAUGGUGUUAAUCAGUGAAUACUCACAUUAUUUCAUAAAUGCUAGAUUUAUUUCUUAUAGUUAGGUUUGGUUUCCAUACAUUAAACAUUUUGGGCAGGAAAAAAGCAGUCGCAGGAAUUGAUCUUCUUUGACAUUUUAAUAAUAAUUUUGUUACUUUCUAAAUAAGAGGAUCUGCACAAAAUUACAGCAACGUAAAGAACAUGAACACAAAAAUAGAGUGAGGCUAAAAGGCUUACCUAUUUAAAAAAUAAAUAGUAGCUGAAUGUUGGGGAUGUGAGGCCUGACGGUGAAGUUCAGCGUUUCAUUGAAUUCAACUACUACUUUAAUCUACAUUUUCACACUCAGUGAAUGUGGUGUCACAUUUUCCAUUGAUAAAUAGCUUUAUAUAGAGAGUGUAGACGUGGCCUGUGUAUACAUUUACAGCAUGUCAGGUAUACACAUAUUUUACAGAAACUCAACCAUUAUGAUUUAGUAAUGUAGACUAUUUUACCUACAAAAUCAUAAAAGAUGUAUCUUUAGAUCUUACAGUCACAGAUUUCAGGAUGUAUUGUUGAAACUCACAACCAAGGAGAUUCAUAAAUAUAAAUAUUGCUUCUUAAGGAAUCAGAUAAAUGUACAUAUUUCAUCUCAUUUAAAUAUUUCUAAAACACAAUUUGGCAAACCGCACCAUUUCAGUCCCAUAACUUUUAUAAAAUUCCAUACAUUUCUAUAGAAAUCAUUAAAAAUACUGUGCUUUAAGUUUUUGCUGUUGUACUCUAUUGUAAAAUAAUCUCUAUUUAAAAAGGGUCGACACAAAGCAGUGUGACUCGGGCAGCAAGUUUCCUUUCCACUCUCAACAAGUAAUAAUAAUAAUAAUGAUAAUAAUAAUAAUAAACCAUAGGAUAACUCUAAAAUCAUUCACUCACGGCCCAUCUGGACAUUCACACACAAACACACACUUUUUAAAAUAUUACAGGGAUGGAAUAAAGGUGGAGGAAUGUUUAGAAUCAAAAUCAAAGAAUCUAAAAACUGAACGAAUUAAAAAUUAACAAUUCAAAAUCGUCAUUUGUCCUGUGUCUUGGAGAACUCUGCUAAGUAGGAAACAUUUUUAAUAAAGAAAUAAAGACUGUCACAGACUUACACUCCUUUCCAGACUUUCUUUCGCCUUGUCUUUAUCUAAACUCCCUUAUCUGUUUUUCUCUCUUUCUCUUUCUCUCGAAGUGUCUCCUUCUAUCUCUUCCACUUCAUAUAUAUGCCACCUUUUUAUCCUCCCACUCUGUCUUUCUUUCUCUCGCCCUGUGGUCUCCUCUUUCUAUAAAUCUCAACCUCACUUAUGUAAAACGAUAA